Morus notabilis is the source of this 429-nucleotide long non-coding RNA. RefSeq lists it as uncharacterized. The record is from RefSeq and is a predicted model, not a curated record. Lineage: Eukaryota; Viridiplantae; Streptophyta; Magnoliopsida; Rosales; Moraceae. The transcript has 3 exons.
AUAGGUAUACAUCAAAUUAUUCAAAACCUGAUAAAAUCCCAGAUCAAGGGGAUGCGAUGCAUGUUCUUGCUUUGUUGGACUAUCGGGUUGAACUAUAUGCAUUUGUAUGCUCUACAACUAAGAAUGACAUAAUCCAUAACAUGAACUUCCAUUAUGCUACCAAUAUUUCAUCAUCCUUUAUUGUCAUUUGAUUUUGUUGAAGCAGGUGGUUUAUUCCAUGACAGAUAUGUGUAUCAUAUUGGCAGACAAUAGUAAGGUUGUUCAUCGGCUUGGUAGCAAAUUUCCAGUUGCGGUCGAAGUUCUUCCCAUUGCUGUAACACCUGUUCUAAGGCGUCUCAUUGCUCUUGGAGGAGUUCCUGAAGCCAGAUCUGCCCUAGGAAAGGAUGGGCCAGUGAUCACUGAUCUUGGUAAUAUGAUCAUAGAUGUGAG